This 281-nucleotide long non-coding RNA is filed under the name Salvia miltiorrhiza (redroot sage). RNAcentral's name for it is "long non-coding RNA (SMIL_LNC008767)". Lineage: Eukaryota; Viridiplantae; Streptophyta; Magnoliopsida; Lamiales; Lamiaceae. The record is from RNAcentral.
AAUCAGUACAGAUAGAAAAUUGACAUGUUCGAUGAGCUGACUCAUUGCAAAAGGAAAAUAUCCGCACAUGGAGGGGUGAAAAUGAAGCAUACAUGAAUCAUAUCCACAUUGAGCGAGAAUUUUCCAAACAAUUGAGCUACAAUCAUCACUGACCUCUUCAGCCGCAAAAAUCAAAACCGCCGAUCAAUGAUCAUAGUCGUCUACGCACAAAAACCAGCGCCUUCAGCUAGAAUAUUCCCAAUUUCCCAUUAAUAAUCUAAAAAUUGCAGUUUAUACGAAUG